Molecule: non-coding RNA, 21 nt
Filed under: Caenorhabditis elegans
Lineage: Eukaryota; Metazoa; Nematoda; Chromadorea; Rhabditida; Rhabditidae
Source: RNAcentral
UGUGAAGAUUUUGAAUACUUU